GUUGAUAUAAUCGACUUAAUCCAUUUGUCUGUCCUUGUUCGUCCCCUCUGUAUUUAGCCCCUUGUGGGUAGUAAAGAAAUAGGUAUUGUUGCUUGGCACAUGGUCAGUCCCAUUCAAGUAAACACAUAGCCAGUUAUUUGAGUUAGCCCUAUUUGGACAAACCUAUGAUGCUCAGAUAACCACUCUGACUCAGUACAGUGGUGUCUAUAUGCUUUUCCGUGCUAAAAGUUCCUGGCUGUAAGGGUAUUACAAAAGGCCUGGUUGGAGGCCCAACCUUCUGAGUUCUUUUACAGGGCUUUGAAAAACUGAAGGACCAUUGCAAUAAGUGUGUGAAUCUGAGAGGGGAAUAUAUGAAAUAAAAUCAUAAUUAACUGAUCCUGUAUUUUCUUUUACCCAAAGUCAGGACCUUUUCUGCUUCCCCUCAUACUGUGUAUUUAAUACUUAAAAAGAAGUAACUAACUUUCUAAAAGAGACAUUGCUUGAGUAAAAUUUGUCCAUUCUAAUCUGCAUUUCUCUCUCUCUCCCUCUUUCUCAUACUCACUCACUCACUCUCUCAAUAUAUCUGUCUCCCUCUCUAUCAUCCUG
Octopus sinensis (East Asian common octopus) is the source of this 585-nucleotide long non-coding RNA. RefSeq lists it as uncharacterized. NCBI's taxonomy places the organism in Eukaryota, Metazoa, Mollusca, Cephalopoda, Octopoda, Octopodidae. The transcript has 3 exons. The record is from RefSeq and is a predicted model, not a curated record.